GUUUUUAUAGUUGAAAUACAACGAUGGUUUUUCAUAUCAUUGGUCAUGGUUGAAGUCCAUGUAGAAACA
Molecule: transfer RNA, 69 nt
Filed under: Simias concolor (Simakobou)
Lineage: Eukaryota; Metazoa; Chordata; Mammalia; Primates; Cercopithecidae
Description: tRNA-Glu
Rfam family: tRNA
About the family: Transfer RNA (tRNA) molecules are approximately 80 nucleotides in length. Their secondary structure includes four short double-helical elements and three loops (D, anti-codon, and T loops).
Source: RNAcentral